GAUGAACGCUAGCGGCAGGCCUAAUACAUGCAAGACGAACGGUAAGUUGAGUAGCAAUACUUAGCCAAGAGUGUCGUACGGGUGCGUAACACGUAUGCAACCUACCCUAUACAGGAGGAUAGCCUAGGGAAACCUGGAUUAACCCUUCAUAGUAUUAUUGGAUGGCAUCAUUUGAUAAUUAAAACUGAGGUGGUAUAGGAUGGGCAUGCGUCUGAUUAGUUAGUUGGCGGGGUAAUGGCCCACCAAGACGAUGAUCAGUAGGGGUUCUGAGAGGAAGAUCCCCCACACUGGCACUGAGAUACGGGCCAGACUCCUACGGGGAGGCAGCAGUAGGGAAUAUUGGGUCAAUGGAUGCAAGUCUGAACCAGCCAUGCCGCGUGCAGGAAGAAGGCCUUCUGGGUUGUAAACUGCUUUUGCCAGGGGAUAAAUUUCCAUGCGUGGAAACUGAGGUACCUGGUGAAUAAGCCACGGCUAACUACGUGCCAGCAGCCGCGGUAAU
This 499-nucleotide ribosomal RNA is filed under the name uncultured bacterium. Its description in RNAcentral is "bacterial SSU rRNA". It matches the Rfam family "Bacterial small subunit ribosomal RNA", at positions 28 to 524 of the family's 1533-position model. The record is from RNAcentral.